RNAcentral lists this ribosomal RNA (331 nucleotides) under uncultured soil bacterium. RNAcentral's name for it is "bacterial SSU rRNA". It matches the Rfam family "Bacterial small subunit ribosomal RNA", at positions 26 to 360 of the family's 1533-position model. The record is from RNAcentral.
AGAUUGAACGCUGGCGGCAUGCCUUACACAUGCAAGUCGAACGGUAGAGUAGCAAUACUCGAGAGUGGCGAACGGGUGAGUAAUAUAUCGGAACGUGCCCAGUCGUGGGGGAUAACGUAGAGAAAUUUACGCUAAUACCGCAUACGAUCUACGGAUGAAAGCGGGAGAUUCGCAAGAACCUCGCGCGAUUGGAGCGGCUGAUAUCAGAUUAGGUUGUUGGUGAGGUAAAAGCUCACCAAGCCGACGAUCUGUAGCUUGGUUUGAGAGAACGACCAGCCACACUGGGACUGAGACACGGCCCAGACUCCGUACGGGAGGCAGCAGGUGGGGU